AAGUCGUAACAAGGUUUCCGUAGGUGAACCUGCGGAAGGAUCAUUAAAGAAUCGCCCCGUUUUUUGAAAUGGGUCCUAUUCCCAAACCGUGUAUACAUACCUUUGUUGCUUUGGCAGGCCGCCUUUUAGGCGUCGGCACCGGCUGACUGCGCCUGCCAGAGGACCCAAACUCUUUUGUUUAGUGAUGUCUGAGUACUAUAUAAUAGUUAAAACUUUCAACAACGGAUCUCUUGGUUCUGGCAUCGAUGAAGAACGCAGCGAAAUGCGAUAAGUAAUGUGAAUUGCAGAAUUCAGUGAAUCAUCGAAUCUUUGAACGCACAUUGCGCCCCUUGGUAUUCCGAGGGGCAUGCCUGUUCGAGCGUCAUUAUAACCACUCAAGCCUCGGCUUGGUCUUGGGGUUCGCGGUUUCGCGGCCCUUAAAAUCAGUGGCGGUGCCGUCUGGCUUUAAGCGUAGUAAUUCUCUCGCUAUAGGGUCCAGGUGACCACCUGCCAUAACCCCCCAUUCUUUACGGUUGACCUCGGAUCAGGUAGGGAUACCCGCUGAACUUAA
This 550-nucleotide ribosomal RNA is filed under the name uncultured fungus. Its description in RNAcentral is "eukaryotic LSU rRNA". The stretch from base 211 to 364 matches the Rfam family "5.8S ribosomal RNA". Lineage: Eukaryota; Fungi. The record is from RNAcentral.